Populus euphratica (Euphrates poplar) is the source of this 463-nucleotide long non-coding RNA. RefSeq lists it as uncharacterized. The transcript has 2 exons. NCBI's taxonomy places the organism in Eukaryota, Viridiplantae, Streptophyta, Magnoliopsida, Malpighiales, Salicaceae. The record is from RefSeq and is a predicted model, not a curated record.
GUUACUUCAAAAUCGUAACACAUAUCGCAUAGAACUACUCCCUGUUUUACUGUAAUUGAGAUUCAAGAGCAAGGAGAAAGACAAUGGGAGAUUGCAAGCCAUUAGGGUUUUUGUUAGGACUUCCCUUUGCAUUGCUUGCAUUAGUUUUGUCCAUUGUUGGUACAGUAAUAUGGCUCAUUGGGACAAUAUUGAGUUGCUUGUGCCCAUGUUGUGUAUGCUGUGCAGCUCUGGCCAAUUUUGCAGUGGAUAUGGUGCAUCUUCCUGUUAGGAUACUUGGAUGGUUCACUGAUCAAAUCCCUUGUUAAUGCUGCUGCUGCUGAUAAUUUCUAUUUUCUCUUUUUGCUAAUUCCAUAUUCCAUCCAUAAUCUUCUGUUGGAAAUUUUUUAUGCCCAAAUAAACUUUGUAAUUCCUCUAAUGGUUUGAUAUAUAUCUUGUUUAUGCUCAUUUCGAACUUUGGAAUUUA